CCUACGGGUGGCAGCAGUGGGGGAUAUUGGACAAUGGGGGGAACCCUGAUCCAGCGACGCCGCGUGAAUGAAGAAGUAUUUCGGUAUGUAAAGUUCUGUCAGCAGGGAAGAAAGCAAUGACGGUACCUGACCAAGAAGCCCCGGCUAACUAGGUGCCAGCAGCCGCGGUAAGACGUAGGGGGCAAGCGUUAUCCGGAAUUACUGGGUGUAAAGGGAGCGUAGACGGCGGUGCAAGUCUGGAGUGAACGCCGGGGGCGCAACCCCCGAACUGCUUUGGAAACUGUAUGGCUGGAGUGCAGGAGAGGUAAGCGGAAUUCCUGGUGUAGCGGUGAAAUGCGUAGAGAUUAGGAGGAACACCAGUGGCGAAGGCGGCCUACUGGACUAUAACUGACGUUGAGGCUCGAAAGCGUGGGGAGCAAACAGGAUUAGAUACCCUUGUAGUC
RNAcentral lists this ribosomal RNA (443 nucleotides) under uncultured bacterium. Its description in RNAcentral is "partial 16S ribosomal RNA". It matches the Rfam family "Bacterial small subunit ribosomal RNA", at positions 338 to 795 of the family's 1533-position model. The record is from RNAcentral.